Long non-coding RNA from Sinocyclocheilus grahami, 289 nucleotides. RefSeq lists it as uncharacterized. The transcript has 3 exons. The record is from RefSeq and is a predicted model, not a curated record. Lineage: Eukaryota; Metazoa; Chordata; Actinopteri; Cypriniformes; Cyprinidae.
GUGCCUAUAAAAGGGGGAGUGUUUGGUUGCUUGGGAUGCAUCAUCCUUGGUACCGCCCCUUUGUGACAUGUGGCGCUUUGAAUGAGUGCCAGCAGUUGGGUUAUCCUCCUGUCUGUCGUGUGCUGGCUGUUGGCCAGUUUUCAGAUAUGGGCCUGCCAGUAGCUGUAAUCCUGCGUGGUGAGCGACCAUGUGUAUUGCAGCAUUGUACUGUUUUCUUGGAUUGAUUGCACGUCCAGGGGUUUCUAAUGAUCUUAAUUGAAGCCUAAUGAACCUCACGUAACUGACUGCA